Molecule: long non-coding RNA, 975 nt
Organism: Fundulus heteroclitus (mummichog)
Lineage: Eukaryota; Metazoa; Chordata; Actinopteri; Cyprinodontiformes; Fundulidae
Exons: 2
Source: RefSeq, a predicted model, not a curated record
GAUUUAACGCAGAACUUCAAACUGUUGAAACGAAAGCAGUCCACUCCGUUAAAGCGGAACCUUAUCAGAACAACAGCUGGGAUGGAUACGGCUGAACCGAACCCUCCAGACCCCAACACAGAAUCUGGACCGGGACUUGCAGAACAAACCCGUGAGACGGGAGAACACGACCCGCAGUAACAACCCAGGGUUUCCCUCCGUCCGGAACCGAACAGACACUCAAAGCACCGUCUCCAGGAACAACUCCUCACGUCUCAUGUUUGCCUCAUUCUGUCUCUGAGGACGCCCAGAAGGCGCCACCUCAGUCUCAACUUCCUGUUUCAAGUUCUCCAAGGCGCUCAAGGAAGCCUUGACCGCCAGAGCUCUGGAGCCUGCACAAACUCUGUUUUUAUCUAUUUUAUGCUUCUAUCCCUCCUUCGGAGGUCCAACCGGUUCAGGUUUGACGUUCUGAUGUUGUUCUUCCAUUCUUCUGGUCUGCCUGCGCUCAGGUUCAACAUCAACCCCAACCAUGGCGGUAAAAACUUUUAAACGGGGUGAUAAUUUUCUCAUUAUCACAAAACAACACGACAGAAUGCAGGAACUUCAUUUGUUUUUGGUACGACUUACAGUCAUAGUGACGUAGAUCCGUCUGUGACUUCAUGCACAUCUUUAUAUAUUAAAUUAAACGCAAUUUGGUUUUGUCGUAUCAACUUACAUCUCAAAGUAUUUCAUAAGACAAGUCAGUGCAGUUUAUAUUUUAAGUGAUGCACAUUAUUCCAAACCUUCAAGAAGUGACGAUGUAAAAAUGAAACAUUACUCAGAAGAAAAGAAUGUCUUUAUUCAUGAAAAAGAUGAAUGAAAAAGGUUUACAGAAAAAUGAAAACAUUACAAUGUUUCUAAUGCAGUAUUUAUCAAAUAGGAGCACAUAUGGCUGCAUUCACUAGUGUGCAUGUUUGAAUGCUACAUGCUAAAAGCUACAUUCAGCAGGAAUUCAUG